AAAAGUUGUUUGAAGGUGGUCAUCGAGCGAGAGAAAGAGAAAGCGAAAGAGAGAGAGAGCUAGACAGAGCGCGUGAAAGUAGGGGGUUUGUUAGAAGCCGAAUUUACCUUUGCCCCCACCCGAGAUGUCUUACAAAUUCGAUUGAUUACGAUAGCUUAACAGGUUUUGGAAUCUUUUGGCAGUAUGAAAUGAUGCAGUCAAAAUGGCUUUUCUCCUAAUAUGCUUUCACUUCGCCGCGCAAGUAUUCAGUGAAACUCUGCCCGCUCUGCCACAGGAUGUCCUGUUUGAUAACUGGCAGGUGACGUGGACUUCUGCCUCAGAAGAGAGCACUGUCACUUACACUGUGAGGUACAGCAGCUUUGACUCUGAUCUUUGGAAAGAUGUCCCAACCUGCAAGCAGAUUAAUUUUACUUCGUGUAAGGUCACUUCCAUCAAAGCCGAGGCAGAGCAUGGCUGUGUUAUGCUGGGUGUUCAAGCAGAACGGCGUGGGCUGACUUCAGAUCUAGUCAGAGCCUGUAGCAGACAAGGUACCCUUUGUAGUCCUGAAGUUCGCCUGAGUGCACGCCCUGGUUUCUUCACUAUUUAUUUAAGUAGAAAAAAUGGGAUUGCUCUGGAAGGUGACCACAUAAAACAUAGGAUUUACUUUGGAAAAGAGGGAGAACACUUGGAGAAAUAUGAAGAUGCUGUGUCCUCUGUGUCCAUUAACAAUUUAAAGGAGGGAGAGCGCUACUGUGCAAAAGUGCAGUACACUUACUUUGACCAUCCUGUCGGGCUGUCCAGCUGCACCCAGUGUGAAGUCAUCCCUCAGUCAAGCCCAGGAACAAAACAAAUUGAGAAAGGUUUUGCCGUAGUGCUUGUUCUUAUUUUAAUACCAUUCAUAGCAUACAUCCCGCUGUUUCAGAGGAGGAGAAUCAAGGAGUGGUUUCAACCUUCUUACAAGAUCCCAGAUAUUGUUGCAGUGCAGACAUGCGUCAGGAGGGUGGAGAGCAGCGGACUGAGCACGCAGCCUUGGGGGGCCCCCGUGCUCAGCGUGAUGCUGGCGGAGAUUUUGUCGCCAACAUGUACUACCUGUGGCCUCUGACAGAGGAAGUCCAGUAACCAGUUGCAGAGGUCUUCAUUGAAGCACGUGAGCUGUCUCUCAUUCAAAUCUCGAGCAACAGCCCAACUGAGGACUUCUCUGAUGUUACAAGCAUGGAGUCUCGAGGACAGUGAAUGAAGCAAUAUUUUAUCCACUCUCACAUACUACAACUAAACAAUUUAUCCCAGUAGUAUGAAAAGUAUAUUAAGGAAAAAAAUGAAAUGAUAGACUACUUGGUAAUAGAAAAAUAGCCUAGCACUAAAUUGCAGAAUUGGUUUAAGGACUUUGUCUUCUGAGUGACUUCACCAAGAUUUCCACUGCAGGUCCAAUGCCUAUCCUGUGUUCGAAUGUGUCACUUUAAUUGAAUCCGUUCACCAAUUGCAUUGCAAUAAGCAUCAGAACCAGGCAACUCAAAAGUAAACAAAUAUAUAAAAUGUGUACAACCUUGCAUUGACAGGUUAUGUCUACUCAACCUGUAAAGGUUGUAAUGGUUGCAUUUUAGAUUCAUCCUGUUAUUCCUCCCAAAAGCUAAAUAUCCAUAGUUUUGUGAGUAUUUUAUAUACAAAGUAUACAACAAUGGGUCUCAACUAUUGUCACCUUGAGAACCGCAUUAUACUAUUGUUGCAAAGUUGCGACACACUUUAUUAGAAGUUAAGAGAAUAUUUUGUUCGAUGAAAUGUAGCCUCUGAAAACACACAGUAGAAUGCUGUUUAAAAAGAAUUUGAUGCACUGCCAAAAGCAUAUUGCUUGCCUUGAUGUCCGCCAUCCAGAGGCUGAGUUGCACUGUAUUUGUUUACUGUCACGGGGGUAGAAAAAAUCAAAAUAUGAAUACAUCCAACUGUUUUACUCGCUGUCGGCGACGCACUUCUGUGUCCCAAUCGACCAGUUGAGAACCCAUCCAUCCAUCCAUCCAUUUUCUAUACUGCUUGUCCCCAUGGUGGUCGCAGGCAGUAGGCGGGGGACACCCUGAACCAAUCGUAGGGACAGAGACGAACAACCAUUCGCACUCACACCUAGAGGGAAUUUGGAGUGCUCAAUCGACCCACCAAAUAUGUUUUUGUGAUGUGGGAGGAAACCGGAGUGCCCGGACAAAACCCACACGGGCACGGGGAGAAAAUGCAUACUCCACACAGGCAGGGCUGGAGGUGGAACCCGCACCUGUGAGGCAGAUGUGCUAACCAGCACGCGACCGUGCCGCCCCAGUUUUCAUGGCUGGUGCGAUUUAUACUCCGGAGCGACUUAUACUCCGAAAAUUACGGUAUAUGUAUGGAGAGUCCAAUAAUUUAAUAGAAAUAAAUACUAAAUAUUCUUUAAAUUGUAUUCCUUUUUUUAAAUAAAAGUGACAGUUUUUUAGACGGUGUAAGUUAUUUUGUUUACUGUUUUAGACUAGGUCUAUAAAUAUUGCAACACUAAGAACAAAGUCACUGUCAGGGUUUUCCAAACUAUCUUGAUCUAUGAUUAUGUUGGAAUGUAUGUAACCAGUAAUAAAUAACUUAGCUUGUUCCAUCCUACACAAUGUCGUAAAACAUCCCCUGCUCUGCUAAUCUAGAGGUCAAGGGCUUUUUAACUUGUCUAUUCAGUCUACUAUCACCCCCACCCUUUUUCUCUUAAUAAAGAUGCUCUUGUGGGAAGCGAGAGUCAGACUUCAUUCGACCAUCGCUGUAAACACAGCGACGAGUGAACUCUCCGCCUGCAGGUGCCCAAAACGACUAACUUGUCUCCGUGUGGUUCUUGCAAAAUAAGUUAGAGUGAGCACCACUCUAACAUUUUGGUGCCGAAACCCGGGACCCUCAUACCCGCCAUCUGGCUGACGGAGGAAGACGUGCUGCAUUGUUGACAAGCCAGCGUCCAUUAGGAGGACCUGGAAAAGAAAGUCCUGGGAAGAGAACUUCUUCGCUGGGCCAGCAUCUUAGGUCUGCCUUCGUCUGACAGAGGUGGUUUGACGGGACCCGGCAAUGCAACAAACCAGGAGACACGUCGACAACCCCAUCAAUCCAGGAGACUGGGUCUACAUCAAGGUCAUCAAAAGAAAGAACUGGGCCAGCUAUGGUGGGAGGGACCAUUCCAAGUCUUGCUGACUACCCCCCUCCGCAGUGAAGAUCGCUGAACGACCCAGCUGGAUUCACCUUAGCCAAUGCAAGCUACAAGGAGUGCUGGACCCCUCAUUUCGGGACGGUGGCGAAGUCUGCGAACAACGAUCCCAACUCCGCUAGGCGGGGGUAUGUCUCGGUGUUCCUGUCAUCUUAGUAGCAACGGGGCUCCACAUGCUAGGUGGAUCCUCUGCUGCGUUGUGGUUGGAGCAUGCUAUAGUCUAUGGACACAUCUGAACAGACCAAGUGAUAAUGUUGACCGUGGGAAACGAUGGUCACACGAUGAGAACUUUGAGGACUGGUCAUGAGACCCCAGAAACCCAUACGAAACCAACGCUUGGUACCGGUAUGUGAAGGUCACUGUGAGAGCGCACACACAGGUGGGAUGUUAUGUCUGUGUUUCCAAAAACUCCCCUUGCUCCACACAAGUUCACUUGGAGGCCAGAGCAAUGAAUGUCACUGAAGCGAAAUGUAUGGCAUCCAUGGGAGGAGUUUGAUAUCAACACCGUACUGUCAGUCAGUGACGCUACCCCUACCGCCCUGGACUCGCAGGAAUGAAUCUGUGAUCAAACUAUUUUGGAUUAAUCCCAAUGUGACUGUUGGAGGACGACAGAUGCCACAAGUGGCCUAAACCAGGACGCUACCUGGAAUGGACUACACGUGUUUCAUCCAAGAAAACAAGACCCACGGAUGCAUUCACGACAACUGCUCUCCAGGAGGGAACUGGAUGGGAGCUUUGGACAUCACCGCUGUGUGCCAGGAUGGGAGAGCCAUUUCAAGGUGUAAGGGCUCUCCUGCCAACAUGGCUGUACCAUUGGACGGGUCCUACUUCAUUCGGAACGGAUCGUGGCUUUAUUUAUAUUUUCUUAUUGAUAGCAUUCUGGUCGCCUAAGGCAGAGGGACCGUGUGAGACUUUUCCUGCGAUUUAACAUCGGCCAGCAGGUUUUUAGAUCACACAAUAAGUUUGAACUGGAGUAUUGAGGGAAAACCUCUUCUUCGCUGGAAGUUAUUGCUAUCAUUGGUUGUUUUUGUCAUGUUUCACCCUACUCGUUCCCCAGCACGUCCGCUGUCGUCUCAGUUUUUUAUUGAUCUUUUUUGUUAUUGGUUUUAUUAUUUUUACUGUUCUUCUUUAUAUUUUCUUCCUUGUGUUUGGUUGAUCGGGUUCACAUAAUCAUAUGAUAAAACAGGAGGGAUAUGUCAGGGUUUUCCAAACUAUCUUGAUCUAUGAUUAUGUUGGAAUGUAUGUAACCAGUAAUAAAUAACCUAGCUUGUUCCAUCCUACACAAUGUCGUAAAACAUCCCCUGCUCUGCUAAUCUAGAGGUCAAGGGCUUUUUAACUUGUCUAUUCAGUCUACUAUCACCCCCACCCUUUUUCUCUUAAUAAAGAUGUGGGAAGCGAGAGUCAGACUUCAUUCGACCAUCGCUGUAAACACAGCGACGAGUGAACUCUCCGCCUGCAGGUGCCCAAAACGA
This is an RNA transcript of Syngnathus typhle (broad-nosed pipefish), 4641 nucleotides long. It is a transcript of the gene named interferon gamma receptor 2, with no coding region annotated. NCBI's taxonomy places the organism in Eukaryota, Metazoa, Chordata, Actinopteri, Syngnathiformes, Syngnathidae. The record is from RefSeq and is a predicted model, not a curated record. The transcript is spliced from 9 exons.